RNAcentral lists this long non-coding RNA (205 nucleotides) under Lathyrus oleraceus (garden pea). RNAcentral describes it as "Pisum sativum (pea) long non-coding RNA (PSAT_LNC007517)". Lineage: Eukaryota; Viridiplantae; Streptophyta; Magnoliopsida; Fabales; Fabaceae. The record is from RNAcentral.
UCUUCUUCGUGAAGACGGUGGUGCUACUGUUCAUCUUUUUUUUUUUGCAGAAUUUUAUAAAAUUUAUAUCGUUGGAAAGGUCUUGAUGAGUAGAUUCCAAAUAUCAUAAAAGCUAAGCCUAAUUCUCAACAUAUUUUCUGGAUCGAAGGAAAUAAGUUUCUAGAUCUAAACUUUAAUUCAACAUAACUUCUUCAUUUUUCAUCCA